GUAGGGAAUCUUCCACAAUGGACGAAAGUCUGAUGGAGCAACGCCGCGUGAGUGAAGAAGGGUUUCGGCUCGUAAAACUCUGUUGUUAAAGAAGAACAUAUCUGAGAGUAACUGUUCAGGUAUUGACGGUAUUUAACCAGAAAGCCACGGCUAACUACGUACCAG
Molecule: ribosomal RNA, 165 nt
Filed under: uncultured bacterium
Lineage: Bacteria
Description: partial 16S rRNA
Rfam family: Bacterial small subunit ribosomal RNA
Source: RNAcentral